CAGUUCUGGCCCCGAACCGGUGCUUUCGGCAAGUACGCUUGCGCGGAAGGUAAACGGGAAACAGGAAGGCCCUGCCCAGCCUGUGCUGCCCCCGCAACGGUCCCCAUGGCGCGCGACGCGCCGUGGCAGCCCGAUACCGGCCGGUUCGACAGCGAGGAU
RNAcentral lists this non-coding RNA (159 nucleotides) under Bordetella pertussis. RNAcentral also lists the same sequence under 1 other name. Lineage: Bacteria; Pseudomonadati; Pseudomonadota; Betaproteobacteria; Burkholderiales; Alcaligenaceae. The record is from RNAcentral.